UACGGGGGGGGCAAGCGUUGUUCGGAAUUACUGGGCGUAAAGCGCGCGCAGGCGGUCUUCCAAGUCAGUGGUGAAAGCCUGGAGCUCAACUCCAGAACUGCCAUUGAAACUGUUAGACUUGAGUACGAGAGAGGUGAGUGGAAUUCCCAGUGUAGAGGUGAAAUUCGUAGAUAUUGGGAAGAACACCGGUGGCGAAGGCGGCUCACUGGCCCGUAACUGACGCUCAGGCGCGACAGCGUGGGGAUCAAACAGG
This 253-nucleotide ribosomal RNA is filed under the name uncultured bacterium. Its description in RNAcentral is "partial 16S ribosomal RNA". It matches the Rfam family "Bacterial small subunit ribosomal RNA", at positions 524 to 776 of the family's 1533-position model. The record is from RNAcentral.